CCUACGGGGGGCUGCAGUGGGGAAUAUUGGACAAUGGGGGCAACCCUGAUCCAGCCAUGCCGCGUGUGUGAAGAAGGCCCUCGGGUUGUAAAGCACUUUCAGUGAGGAAGAACGCCUGGUGGUUAAUACCCAUCAGGAAAGACAUCACUCACAGAAGAAGCACCGGCUAACUCCGUGCCAGCAGCCGCGGUAAUACGGAGGGUGCGAGCGUUAAUCGGAAUUACUGGGCGUAAAGCGUGCGUAGGUGGCUUGAUAAGCCGGUUGUGAAAGCCCCGGGCUCAACCUGGGAACGGCAUCCGGAACUGUCAAGCUAGAGUGCAGGAGAGGAAGGUAGAAUUCCCGGUGUAGCGGUGAAAUGCGUAGAGAUCGGGAGGAAUACCAGUGGCGAAGGCGGCCUUCUGGACUGACACUGACACUGAGGUGCGAAAGCGUGGGUAGCAAACAGGAUUAGAUACCCUUGUAGUC
This 465-nucleotide ribosomal RNA is filed under the name Vreelandella stevensii. RNAcentral's name for it is "partial 16S ribosomal RNA". It matches the Rfam family "Bacterial small subunit ribosomal RNA", at positions 338 to 795 of the family's 1533-position model. Lineage: Bacteria; Pseudomonadati; Pseudomonadota; Gammaproteobacteria; Oceanospirillales; Halomonadaceae. The record is from RNAcentral.